CUCCUUAAUCGGAGAGUUCCCUUCGGGGACAUUGGUGACAGGUGGUGCAUGGUUGUCGUCAGCUCGUGUCGUGAGAUGUUGGGUUAAGUCCCGCAACGAGCGCAACCCUUGUCUUUAGUUGCCAUCAUUAAGUUGGGCACUCUAGAGAGACUGCCAGGGAUAACCUGGAGGAAGGUGGGGAUGACGUCAAAUCAUCAUGCCCCUUAUGCUUAGGGCUACACACGUGCUACAAUGGGUAGUACAGAGGGUUGCCAAGCCGUAAGGUGGAGCUAAUCCCUUAAAGCUACUCUCAGUUCGGAUUGUAGGCUGAAACUCGCCUACAUGAAGCUGGAGUUACUAGUAAUCGCAGAUCAGAAUGCUGCGGUGAAUGCGUUCCCGGGUCUUGUACACACCGCCCGUCACACCACGGGAGUUGGAGACGCCCGAAGCCGAUUAUCUAACCUUUUGGAAGAAGUCGUCGAAGGUGGAAUCAAUAACUGGGGUGAAGUCGUAACAAGGUAGCCGUAUCGGAA
Molecule: ribosomal RNA, 512 nt
Filed under: uncultured bacterium
Lineage: Bacteria
Description: bacterial SSU rRNA
Rfam family: Bacterial small subunit ribosomal RNA
Source: RNAcentral